This 546-nucleotide ribosomal RNA is filed under the name Triticum aestivum (bread wheat). RNAcentral's name for it is "partial small subunit ribosomal RNA". The record is from RNAcentral. Lineage: Eukaryota; Viridiplantae; Streptophyta; Magnoliopsida; Poales; Poaceae.
AUGAAGGCGAGAGUCGAGGUAGAGGACCCAGAUCCAGUCAUCACUGGAUUCAACAACAAUGACCGUAGCUGCGAUGGUAUCAAUCAUGACAAGAACGAGAAGCCUGCCAGUUUAGAGCUCCGCCUAUGGUGGCCAUGCGAGACUAUGCAACAGGAGGGUACACCAGUCAUGGAGGAAGGCAAGCAGGCAACGAUGUCAGUGGGGAACAAGGUGAAGGUGCCAGAGAAUGGGAUGUCCAUCCAUCAACCAGUGAUCGUACCAAGAACCAGAAAGCUCUUUCUUCGAGGAUUGGGUGUCUAUGGGCGUGGAAAAUGGAAGGAAAUAUCCAAGGACUUUGUCACCACCAAGACUCCUGUGCAGGUUUCAAGCCACGCACAGAAGUACUUCAGGAGGAUAAAGAAAGGAGAGCUGGAAAGGCAACGCUACAGCAUCAAUGACCUAGAGCUCAAAAUUGUCAAACCAUGGACAAUUGGAAAUAACUCUAGUGCCUACCAAUCUCUCAUCUUUGAUGAUGCUGAUAACCAGAACCAAAGUUUCGACAUGUAA